AGAUUAAAAUUUAUACUACCUGUCAUUAUGAUUUAUACUAAGCAAGAAUAACGUUAAAAUAUGUUUGUUAGCAUUCUGUCUUUUGCAGAUUUUGAUAAUUUCUUCAUACGCGUGGUGAUUUCGAUCAAUUUAAUACUUUUUUCAAUAAACCGACUAAAGACGACUAAAAAAUCCGCUAUUCGUUUAUAUGCAUAUAAGUUAAAUUGUUGUGCAAUGUGGAAAAGCACGCCUUUCCGGAUGAAACUCACAGCGCUCGGCAUUGAUCUUUGCCAUCUUGGUUGCCUGGUUGCCCCUGUCAACCGGAAUGUAGAAAAACUUCUUCCGUCGAACCAAACCGAACCAAUUCCGAAACUCGCACAAUGCCUCUACCUUGGCCACCCAGCCACACUGUUUAUCAAACGCGUCAGAAGCGAGUACCAAAUCAAGUCUCGCUGCCCCCUCCGGCGGUCUCAAGUAAUGAAGAUUCGGGUUGACGCAAUUUAUCUCAGGACUACGUACUACAAAUGAUUCUAUCUCUACGGCAAAGUCUGCUUCAAACCGACCAACGCCGGUCUCCAUUUCAGUGAUUUUGCUUCACGGCGACGUUUCUUUGAAUGUGUCGGAUGUGCGAGAGCUGUUUCCCAGUCAAGAAUUACAUCCCGCUUUGGAAUUUCAUCGCUACAAACAUCGCUGCCGAUUCGGCGUCGAGACACUUCUCAUGGUUAUGCUACGUUUUGACAGGGCAAGUGAAUUGAAAAACUCAGUUGAAUUCAAUUGACUUGCCAAAAGUUGAACAUGUUCAACUUUCUUUUUAUUCAAGUGAAUUGAAUUAAGGUGUUUACACGUUCAGUUCGCGUUCGAUUCAAGCGACUUGCUCAAUUCACUUGCCUUGUCUAAACGUAGCAUUACCCUCAGCAGUGAAGACGAAUUCAUAAGGAUCUGCGAAACGAAAUACGGUUCCUAGGAAGUGCCGAGGAAUGUGUAGUGCAUGAUGGUGAUGUGACCAGGACGAUUCGAACCACAAAAAAUAACUAUCGCAUGUUA
This is a long non-coding RNA of Armigeres subalbatus, 1023 nucleotides long. RefSeq lists it as uncharacterized. The record is from RefSeq and is a predicted model, not a curated record. The transcript is spliced from 3 exons. Lineage: Eukaryota; Metazoa; Arthropoda; Insecta; Diptera; Culicidae.